Non-coding RNA from Prunus avium (sweet cherry), 888 nucleotides. The record is from RefSeq and is a predicted model, not a curated record. Lineage: Eukaryota; Viridiplantae; Streptophyta; Magnoliopsida; Rosales; Rosaceae.
AUUAGUUUCUCAGAUCUCUCUCUCCUCUCCUCUCUCCCCGCGUCUUCUACCUUUCUCCUCCCCUCUGUUUCGACCGACACCGACAAAACCCCCCAGCCACUGUCACGUCGGCCACCCAGCCACCGGACCGGUCAAGUUUUGACCGGCGUCUUCUCCCUUGCUCCUCUUCUUGUUGCUGCUGCUGUUGUUGGGCUCCCAAGUAAGAAAGUGUGUGAAGCCUGAGGAGCGGCUGUGAAAGCCAUGGAAAAGGGAGCAUUCGGCUCAGAGAGUUCUCCAAGGACAGCAUUCGGCUCGUCCAGCGGUGCCACAAGCCUGAUCGCAAGAUCUCCCCUGCUUCUGGAACCCAGAUCCGUACCAUUUGUGCUUGGUCUCCUGAUCUGAUGAUGAAUUAGCUGAAACUGAAAAACCACACUGGUUUUUGUUUAGCAAGUUGAUAUUUUGAGUGAAAUAUUAAAUAAUUGGGGAGAGAGAGAGAGAGAGAGAGAGAGAGAGAGAAACACUCGAUUAUAUGGCAAUGGCAUCUCUACAACGACAAGUAUUGCAUUGGGAUUCAAUCUAAAAACUUGUUUGACUCAUUUUCCAUUUGCUCAGGACUUCUUAGAUUAUAGAGAUUCGUCGUUUGAAGGCUUCUUAGUUUUAUAUGGUUUUUACGAGGCCUUCAACCUCACCAAUUUGAAGAGUAUAGGCUGCCCAGAUGAGGAAUUGGGUGGGCAAGAGAAUAUGGAAACUGCAUUGCAGAAAAUGGAAACUGCAAUGCAGAAAACGGAAUGUGCAAUGCAAAAAACAGAAACAUAAAUAACCUAUUUUACAUUCUAGAUGGUUUUCGGUCUGAUUCCCUCUCUCCCAACAUGUUUUGAAUAAAAAAAACUAUUGUUUUGUUUUGUUUAA